CUCGACAACCUGAAUUCUAUAUUAAACAAUACAAGAAAGAUUAUAUAUAAUAAACUCAAUUAAUCAAGGUCCGUCUAUAUUAGUAUUAUAGUUGUUUGAUAGCCAUAUAUUCGUUCGUAUGUUGAUUACCAAAAUCUUUCGACCCGAUUCAAUAUAGAUUCUAAAUUUAAAAGAAGUCAUGGCUGCAAUGCAACACUUACUACAGUCAUUCUAAGGUUAUCUGGUGAAUAAAUAUUUUGCUUUUAACAAAUCCACCAUGAACGCUGUACAGAAAGCCGCCUUUUGCAAUAGCGAAAGUGUUAAGAAUUUUUGCUUUUGAAUUAUCUCAAAGUUUUACUAGAGAGUGCUUUGAGAUGCCAUAAUGAUUUUCAAUCAGUGAUAAAAUCUAAUAUAGACAUAAUAUACACUAGUGCAUAUGUCCAAAUUUCCACACAUAUAAAUAAGAGAAUUUAUUCGAUUCCGAUUGUAUAUUUGUACAUAUGUAUAUGUAUUAGGGUGAACUGUAUAACUUUAAAUAAUAUAAAAUAAAUAAAUAAUAUGGGUAUGCACCGGAACCCAAAAACUACUGUAUAUACCACAUUACUGUUUACUUAUAUCCUUUAAAAUUAACACAGCAGCUGUUUUUGGUUUCGAUAAGUUCUAAGCUUAAACUUAAAACUUUGAGUACUUCGUUUUUCGCGACUUCGACUCAUAUCGUUUCGCAACACCGUAUUCACCUGAUUUGACUCCGUCUUCUUCUUCUGGAUAUUCAACAAACUCAAAGGCCAAUGCGGGAACGCAGUUUGGACACGAUUAAGGAGAUAAAAAUCUAAUCGAAGAAGAUCUUGAAGACUAUAUCGGUUAAAGACUACUCCGACUGUUUUGAGAACUGGAAAAAGCGUUGGCAAAAGCUAAGUCCCUAUCGGACAGCCCUAGUAUUGGACCAACUCUGUCAUACCUACAGUAAUUUAUAUAAUACAAGUAUAAUACAAAAUGAUGUCUAAAUUGAGGUAUUCCCAAAACAGUAGGACCUAGUUCUAUUAUCAAAGCAGCAUUUGCAAAACCAACAACUAUAAACAGAGUGGACUCGAAAGACAAUACAUCAGUUCAUAUCUUUGACAUCCCUCUUUGGAGUCCUGAUUAGUAGUUUCUUGCAGAUGAACUCCGAAGGACUGGCUACUGUUAAUAGAGCUUCAACGAUAUAGUUCUCCCUUUAAGGACAUGUAAAUCAUGCAAACAAAUAUAAUAUAUGGAAAAACAACAGUCAAAGACGUGUUCUGAAUCACUAUUCAAAACAAUAUUGAAUAGUUCCCUCUAUAGUCUAGUCAACAUAACUGGAGCGGUACUAGAUCAAUAUCCGCCCACGAACUGCUACACCAGCCACAUUGCCCAAAACUGUUUGCGGAAUAUUUAAUGCUGCUAU
Molecule: non-coding RNA, 1402 nt
Organism: Bactrocera oleae (olive fruit fly)
Lineage: Eukaryota; Metazoa; Arthropoda; Insecta; Diptera; Tephritidae
Source: RefSeq, a predicted model, not a curated record